Molecule: ribosomal RNA, 566 nt
Filed under: Beauveria bassiana
Lineage: Eukaryota; Fungi; Ascomycota; Sordariomycetes; Hypocreales; Cordycipitaceae
Description: eukaryotic LSU rRNA
Rfam family: 5.8S ribosomal RNA (bases 192-345)
Source: RNAcentral
UUCCGUAGGUGAACCUGCGGAGGGAUCAUUACCGAGUUUACAACUCCCAAACCCUUAUGUGAACCUACCUAUCGUUGCUUCGGCGGACUCGCCCCAGCCGGACGCGGACUGGACCAGCGGCCGCCGGGGACCAUCAAACUCUUGUAUUAUCAGCAUCUUCUGAAUACGCCGCAAGGCAAACAAAUAAAUUAAACUUUCAACAACGGAUCUCUUGGCUCUGGCAUCGAUGAAGAACGCAGCGAAAUGCGAUAAGUAAUGUGAAUUGCAGAAUCCAGUGAAUCAUCGAAUCUUUGAACGCAUAUUGCGCCCGCCAGCAUUCUGGCGGGCAUGCUUGUUCGAGCGUCAUUUCAACCCUCGACCUCCCUUUGGGGAAGUCGGCGUUGGGGCCGGCAGCACACCGCCGGCCCUGAGAUGGAGUGGCGGCCCGUCCGCGGCGACCUCUGCGUAGUAAACCAACUCGCACCGGAACCCCGACGUGGCCACGCCGUAAAACACCCAACUUCUGAACGUUGACCUCGAAUCAGGUAGAGCUACCCGCUGAAUUAAGCAUAUCAAUAAGCGGAGGA